UACAGAGGGUGCGAGCGUUAAUCGGAAUUACUGGGCGUAAAGCGCGCGUAGGCGGCUUUGCAAGCCGGAUGUGAAAUCCCCGGGCUUAACCUGGGAACUGCAUUCGGGACUGCAUUGCUAGAGUAUGGGAGAGGGAAGUGGAAUUUCAGGUGUAGCGGUGAAAUGCGUAGAUAUCUGAAGGAACAUCAGUGACGAAAGCGACUUCCUGGACCAAUACUGACGCUCAUGUGCGAAAGCGUGGGGAGCAAACAGG
RNAcentral lists this ribosomal RNA (253 nucleotides) under uncultured bacterium. RNAcentral describes it as "partial 16S ribosomal RNA". It matches the Rfam family "Bacterial small subunit ribosomal RNA", at positions 524 to 776 of the family's 1533-position model. The record is from RNAcentral.